This 548-nucleotide ribosomal RNA is filed under the name uncultured Glomus. Its description in RNAcentral is "SSU rRNA". It matches the Rfam family "Eukaryotic small subunit ribosomal RNA", at positions 549 to 1098 of the family's 1831-position model. Lineage: Eukaryota; Fungi; Glomeromycota; Glomeromycetes; Glomerales; Glomeraceae. The record is from RNAcentral.
UGGAGGGCAAGCCUGGUGCCAGCAGCCGCGGUAAUUCCAGCUCCAAUAGCGUAUAUUAAAGUUGUUGCAGUUAAAAAGCUCGUAGUUGAAUUUCGGGAUCAAUAUGUCGGUCGUGCCUUCGGUACGUACUGGUAUCAUUGGUCUCUCCUUUCUGACGAACCAUGAUGUCAUUAAUUUGGUGUUAUGGGGAGUUAGGACUGUUACUUUGAAAAAAUUAGAGUGUUUAAAGCAGGCUUUAGCUUGAAUACAUUAGCAUGGAAUAAUGAAAUAGGACGUUCGAACCUAUUUUGUUGGUUUCUAGGAUCAACGUAAUGAUUAAUAGGGAUAGUUGGGGGCAUUAGUAUUCAAUUGUCAGAGGUGAAAUUCUUGGAUUUAUUGAAGACUAACUACUGCGAAAGCAUUUGCCAAGGAUGUUUUCAUUAAUCAAGAACGAAAGUUAGGGGAUCGAAGACGAUCAGAUACCGUCGUAGUCUUAACCAUAAACUAUGCCGACUAGGGAUCGGAUGAUGUUAAUUUUUUAAUGACUCAUUCGGCGCCUUACGGGAAAC